AGCUCCAAUAGCGUAUAUUAAAGUUGUUGCAGUUAAAAAGCUCGUAGUUGGAUUUCUGAUAAGAAUGGCCGGUCCGGACUUUCGGGUCCGUGUACUUUGUGCUUGUUCUCGUCAUCCUUAUAGAGAACGUGUGUUGGCAUUAAGUUGUCGGAUACGGGACCUAUAUCAUUUACUGUGAAAAAAUUAGAGUGUUCAAAGCAGGCAAUGGCUAUGAAUACAUUAGCAUGGAAUAAUAAGAUAGGACUUUGGUACUAUUUUGUUGGUUUGCAUACCAAAGUAAUGAUUAAGAGGGACAGUUGGGGGUAUUCGUAUUUAAUUGUCAGAGGUGAAAUUCUUGGAUUUAUGAAAGACGAACUACUGCGAAAGCAUUUACCAAGGAUGUUUUCAUUAAUCAAGAACG
Molecule: ribosomal RNA, 400 nt
Filed under: phytoplankton environmental sample
Lineage: Eukaryota
Description: partial small subunit ribosomal RNA
Rfam family: Eukaryotic small subunit ribosomal RNA
Source: RNAcentral